RNAcentral lists this ribosomal RNA (246 nucleotides) under uncultured bacterium. Its description in RNAcentral is "partial small subunit ribosomal RNA". It matches the Rfam family "Bacterial small subunit ribosomal RNA", at positions 26 to 285 of the family's 1533-position model. The record is from RNAcentral.
AGAAUCAACGCUGGCGGCGUGCCUAACACAUGCAAGUCGAACGAGAAAGUGGAGCAAUCCAUGAGUAAAGUGGCGACCGGGUGAGUAACACGUGACUAACCUACCUUCGAGUGGGGGAUAACCUCGGGAAAACCGAGGCUAAUACCGCAUAACAUCGUGAGAUCAAAGCAGUAAUGCGCUGGAAGAGGGGGUCGCGGCUGAUUAGCUAGUUGGCGGGGUAAUGGCCCACCAAGGCGAAGAUCGGUA